Molecule: ribosomal RNA, 419 nt
Filed under: bacterium
Lineage: Bacteria
Description: partial 16S ribosomal RNA
Rfam family: Bacterial small subunit ribosomal RNA
Source: RNAcentral
UGGGGGAUAUUGCACAAUGGGCGAAAGCCUGAUGCAGCGACGCCGCGCGGGGGAUGAAGGCCUUCGGGUUGUAAACUUCUUUUGCUCUGAACAAGGCGCACCAUGGGGUGUGUUGAGUGUAGGGGUUGAUUAGCGCCGGCUAACUACGUGCCAGCAGCCGCGGUAAUACGUAGGGCGCGAGCGUUGUCCGGAAUUAUUGGGCGUAAAGGGCUUGUAGGUGGCUGGUUGCGUCUGUCGUGAAAGCUCAUGGCUUAACUGUGGGUUUGCGGUGGGUACGGACUGGCUUGAGUGCAGGAGGGGAGGAUGAAAUUCCUGGUGUAGCGGUGGAAUGCGCAGAUAUCAGGAGGAAUACCGGUGGCGAAGGCGGGUCUCUGGGCUGUUACUGACACUGAGGAGCGAAAGCAUGGGGAGCGAACAGG